AUACGGAGGGUGCGAGCGUUAAUCGGAAUUACUGGGCGUAAAGCGUACGUAGGCGGUUGGUUAAGUUAGAUGUGAAAGCCCCGGGCUUAACCUGGGAACUGCAUUUAAAACUGGCGAACUAGAGUUGAGUAGAGGGGAGUGGAAUUUCAGGUGUAGCGGUGAAAUGCGUAGAGAUCUGAAGGAACACCAGUGGCGAAGGCGACUCCCUGGACUCGAACUGACGCUGAGGUACGAAAGCGUGGGGAGCAAACAGGAUUAGAAACCCGAGUAGUCC
RNAcentral lists this ribosomal RNA (274 nucleotides) under uncultured bacterium. RNAcentral's name for it is "partial 16S ribosomal RNA". It matches the Rfam family "Bacterial small subunit ribosomal RNA", at positions 523 to 796 of the family's 1533-position model. The record is from RNAcentral.